Molecule: ribosomal RNA, 440 nt
Filed under: uncultured bacterium
Lineage: Bacteria
Description: partial 16S ribosomal RNA
Rfam family: Bacterial small subunit ribosomal RNA
Source: RNAcentral
CCUACGGGAGGCAGCAGUGGGGGAUAUUGCACAAUGGGGGCAACCCUGAUGCAGCGACGCCGCGUGAGUGAAGACGUAUCUCGGUAUGUUAAGCCCUAUCAGCAGGGAAGAAAAUGACAGUACCUGACCAAGAAGCCCCGGCAAACUACGUGCCAGCAGCCGCGGUCAUACGUAGGGGGCAAGCGUUAUCCGGAUUUACUGGGUGUAAAGGGGGCGUAGACGGGUAUGUAAGUCUGGAGGGAAAGCCCGGGGCCCAACCCCGGGACUGCUUUGGAAACUGUGUAACUGGAGUUCAGGAGGGGCAGGCGGAAUGCCUGGUGUAGCGGUGAAAUGCGUAGAUAUCAGGAGGAACACCGGCGGCGAAGGCGGCCUGCUGGACUGAAACUGACGUUGAGGCUCGAAAGCGUGGGGAGCGAACAGGAUUAGAUACCCGGGUAGUC